UCUGACCCAGCUGUACUCUCUGGACAUAAAAAGCAGAAAGUGCGACUGGAUCGGAUCG
This 58-nucleotide microRNA precursor is filed under the name Ornithorhynchus anatinus (platypus). Its description in RNAcentral is "Oan-Mir-430-P57_pre stem-loop". Lineage: Eukaryota; Metazoa; Chordata; Mammalia; Monotremata; Ornithorhynchidae. The record is from RNAcentral.